CCUACGGGAGGCAGCAGUAAGGAAUAUUGGUCAAUGGAGGAACUCUGAACCAGCCAUCCCGCGUGAAGGAUGAAGGGGCUCUGCCUUGUAAACUUCUUUUGCAUGGGACGAAAAAACUUAAUUUAUUAAGGACUGACGGUACCAUGAGAAUAAGCACCGGCUAACUCCGUGCCAGCAGCCGCGGUAAUACGGAGGGUGCGAGCGUUAUCCGGAAUCACUGGGUUUAAAGGGUGCGUAGGCGGUUUGAUAAGUCAGUGGUGAAAGGCCGUCGCUUAACGAUGGGACUGCCAUUGAUACUGUUAGACUUGAAUCAGGAUGAGGUUGGCGGAAUGUGGCAUGUAGCGGUGAAAUGCUUAGAUAUGCCAUGGAAUACCGAUUGCGAAGGCAGCUGACUGGACCUGAAUUGACGCUGAGGCACGAAAGCGUGGGGAGCGAACAGGAUUAGAUACCCUGGUAGUCCACGCCCUAAACGAUGCUUACUCGUUGUUUGAUCUAAGGAUUGAGUGACUAAGCGAAAGCGAUAAGUAAGCCACCUGGGGAGUACGACCGCAAGGUUUGAAACUCAAAGGAAUUGACGG
RNAcentral lists this ribosomal RNA (578 nucleotides) under uncultured bacterium. RNAcentral describes it as "bacterial SSU rRNA". It matches the Rfam family "Bacterial small subunit ribosomal RNA", at positions 338 to 916 of the family's 1533-position model. The record is from RNAcentral.